Molecule: non-coding RNA, 72 nt
Organism: Phrynosoma platyrhinos (Desert horned lizard)
Lineage: Eukaryota; Metazoa; Chordata; Lepidosauria; Squamata; Phrynosomatidae
Source: the annotation of a GenBank genome assembly
GCCAGGGUGGCAUAGUUGUUUGACUGUUGGACUAGGACUCUGGAGACCAGGGUUCAAUUCCCAGCCCGGAAA